This 339-nucleotide ribosomal RNA is filed under the name uncultured bacterium. RNAcentral's name for it is "bacterial SSU rRNA". It matches the Rfam family "Bacterial small subunit ribosomal RNA", at positions 466 to 793 of the family's 1533-position model. The record is from RNAcentral.
CGUUUGACGUUAGCGACAGAAGAAGACACCGGCUAACUCCGUGCCAGCAGCGCGGUAAGUACGGAGGGUGCGAGCGUUAAUACGGAAUUACUGGGCGUAAAGACGCAUGCAGGUGGUUUGUUAAGUACAGAUGUGAAAGACCCGGGCGUCAACCUACGGAAUAGCAUUUAGUAAACUAGGCAGACUAGAGUACUGUAGAGGGGGGUAGGAAUUUCAGGUGUAGCGGUGAAAUGCGUAGAGAUCUGAAGGAAUACCGGUGGCGAAGGCGGCCCCCUCGGACAGAUACUGACACUCAGAUGCGAAAGCGUGGGGAGCAAACAGGAUUAGAUACCCUGGUAG